This 71-nucleotide transfer RNA is filed under the name Ovis aries (sheep). It matches the Rfam family "tRNA". From Rfam's summary of the family: Transfer RNA (tRNA) molecules are approximately 80 nucleotides in length. Their secondary structure includes four short double-helical elements and three loops (D, anti-codon, and T loops). Further hydrogen bonds mediate the characteristic L-shaped molecular structure. tRNAs have two regions of fundamental functional importance: the anti-codon, which is responsible for specific mRNA codon recognition, and the 3' end, to which the tRNAs corresponding amino acid is attached (by aminoacyl-tRNA synthetases). tRNAs cope with the degeneracy of the genetic code in two manners: having more than one tRNA (with a specific anti-codon) for a particular amino acid; and 'wobble' base-pairing, i.e. permitting non-standard base-pairing at the 3rd anti-codon position. Lineage: Eukaryota; Metazoa; Chordata; Mammalia; Artiodactyla; Bovidae. The record is from Rfam by way of RNAcentral.
CCCAUGGUGGCUCAGAUGGCAAAGCGUCUGUCUACAAUGCAGAAGACCCAGGUUCGAUCCUUGGGUUGGGA